GUGGAAGGAGGACCGAGAGUCUUGAAAG
RNAcentral lists this non-coding RNA (28 nucleotides) under Cricetulus griseus (Chinese hamster). The record is from RNAcentral. Lineage: Eukaryota; Metazoa; Chordata; Mammalia; Rodentia; Cricetidae.